CAGUAGCCGCGGUAAUGCGUAGGUGGCAAGCGUUGUCCGGAAUUAUUGGGCGUAAAGGGCUCGCAGGCGGUUUCUUAAGUCUGAUGUGAAAGCCCCCGGCUCAACCGGGGAGGGUCAUUGGAAACUGGGAAACUUGAGUGCAGAAGAGGAGAGUGGAAUUCCACGUGUAGCGGUGAAAUGCGUAGAGAUGUGGAGGAACACCAGUGGCGAAGGCGACUCUCUGGUCUGUAACUGACGCUGAGGAGCGAAAGCGUGGGGAGCGAACAGGAUUAGAUACCCGUGUAGUCCCUGUCUCUUAUAC
RNAcentral lists this ribosomal RNA (301 nucleotides) under uncultured bacterium. Its description in RNAcentral is "partial 16S ribosomal RNA". It matches the Rfam family "Bacterial small subunit ribosomal RNA", at positions 509 to 807 of the family's 1533-position model. The record is from RNAcentral.